CUUGAACCUAUCUCUAAUGGACGCCUUAUGUACAAGAACAAGUUAAUAUUGGUUCAGGACCACCAAGUUCCAAAAUCAGGUGGUUUAGGUCUACCAGCAAUGAGUCACGUUACAUCAACACUGUUACUUUUGAUGCUAAGGAGGGCUCUCCCACUCUUGUGAUGGUUCAUGGUUAUGGUGCUUCUCAAGGCUUUUUCUUCAGAAAUUUCGAUGCUCUUGCCAGUCGAUUUAGGGUGAUUGCUAUUGAUCAACUUGGGUGGGGUGGAUCAAGUAGGCCUGAUUUUACUUGUAAAAGCACUGAAGAAACUGAGGCAUGGUUUAUCGACUCCUUAGAGGAAUGCCGUAAAGCUCAGAAUCUCAGCAACUUUAUUCUAUUAGGACAUUCCUUUGGAGGUUACCUUGCUCUAGUAGACAUGAUGAGUAUGAACCUAAUUAAAGAGAUUCAGGU
Non-coding RNA from Camelina sativa (false flax), 448 nucleotides. The record is from RefSeq and is a predicted model, not a curated record. NCBI's taxonomy places the organism in Eukaryota, Viridiplantae, Streptophyta, Magnoliopsida, Brassicales, Brassicaceae.